CCCUUAGAUGUUCGGGGCCGCACGCGCGCUACACUGAAGGAAUCAGCACGUCUUUCUCCUUGUCCGAAAGGACUGGGUAACCCGCUGAACCUCCUUCGUGCUAGGGAUUGGGGCUUGUAAUUCUUCCCCAUGAACGAGGAAUUCCCAGUAAGCGCGAGUCAUAAGCUCGCGUUGAUUACGUCCCUGCCCUUUGUACACACCGCCCGUCGCUACUACCGAUUGGAUGGUUUAGUGAGAUCCUCGGAUUGGUCCCGGAGCGGCCUCUGGUCGUGCCGGAGUGCCGAAAAGAAUGUCGAACUUGAUCAUCUAGAGGAAGAAAAAGUCGUAACA
RNAcentral lists this ribosomal RNA (330 nucleotides) under uncultured eukaryote. Its description in RNAcentral is "partial 18S ribosomal RNA". It matches the Rfam family "Eukaryotic small subunit ribosomal RNA", at positions 1470 to 1796 of the family's 1831-position model. The record is from RNAcentral.